UGGGGAAUAUUGCGCAAUGGGCGAAAGCCUGACGCAGCGACGCCGCGUGAGGGAUGAAGGUCUUCGGAUCGUAAACCUCUGUCAGCAGGGAAGAACGGUCACUGUGCUAAUCAGCAGUGAAUUGACGGUACCUGCAAAGGAAGCACCGGCUAACUCCGUGCCAGCAGCCGCGGUAAUACGGAGGGUGCGAGCGUUAAUCGGAAUUACUGGGCGUAAAGCGCACGUAGGCUGUUGUGUAAGUCAGGGGUGAAAUGCCACGGCUCAACCGUGGAACUGCCCUUGAUACUGCAUGACUGGAAUCCGGGAGAGGGUGGCGGAAUUCCGGGUGUAGGAGUGAAAUCCGUAGAUAUCUGGAGGAACAUCAGUGGCGAAGGCGACUAUCUGGCACAUAACUGACGCUGAGGAGCGAAAGCGUGGGUAGCAAACAGG
This 429-nucleotide ribosomal RNA is filed under the name uncultured bacterium. RNAcentral's name for it is "bacterial SSU rRNA". It matches the Rfam family "Bacterial small subunit ribosomal RNA", at positions 355 to 776 of the family's 1533-position model. The record is from RNAcentral.